UACGUAGGUGGCAAGCGUUGUCCGGAAUUACUGGGUGUAAAGGGAGCGCAGGCGGGAAGCCAAGUCAGCUGUGAAAACUAAGGGCUUAACUUGUAGACUGCAGUUGAAACUGGUUUUCUUGAGUGAAGUAGAGGUUGGCGGAAUUCCGAGUGUAGCGGUGAAAUGCGUAGAUAUUCGGAGGAACACCGGUGGCGAAGGCGGCCAACUGGGCUUUAACUGACGCUGAGGCUCGAAAGUGUGGGGAGCAAACAGG
RNAcentral lists this ribosomal RNA (253 nucleotides) under uncultured bacterium. RNAcentral's name for it is "partial 16S ribosomal RNA". It matches the Rfam family "Bacterial small subunit ribosomal RNA", at positions 524 to 776 of the family's 1533-position model. The record is from RNAcentral.